Molecule: long non-coding RNA, 268 nt
Filed under: Elaeis guineensis (African oil palm)
Lineage: Eukaryota; Viridiplantae; Streptophyta; Magnoliopsida; Arecales; Arecaceae
Description: long non-coding RNA (EGUI_LNC077684)
Source: RNAcentral
GCCUCGGAUGCGGCCGAAGCCACCUGUAAGCAGCCCUCUGUGAGUGGCCCAUGAUUCCCUAUGUGCUACCCACUGUGCAUUUGCUUCAAAAUUUGACUUGGCUCUUCUGCACCCAAUGGGCAUAAUAAUGCUCAUCCCAUCACCCUAUAGGUCACAUAACAAGACAAAAAAAAAAAAAGAAAAGAGAAGCAAGGAAGAAGGGAGAAGAAAAGAAGAGGGCCCAAAGCUUCUCUGGCAGAGCUUGACGUCUCUCCCACAUGCAUACCCA